This 492-nucleotide ribosomal RNA is filed under the name uncultured bacterium. Its description in RNAcentral is "partial 16S ribosomal RNA". It matches the Rfam family "Bacterial small subunit ribosomal RNA", at positions 29 to 507 of the family's 1533-position model. The record is from RNAcentral.
AGUGAACGCUGGCGGUAGGCCUAACACAUGCAAGUCGAACGGCAGCACAGUAAGAUCUUGCUCUUACGGGUGGCGAGUGGCGGACGGGUGAGGAAUACAUCGGAAUCUACUUUUUCGUGGGGGAUAACGUAGGGACACUUACGCUAAUACCGCAUACGACCUACGGGUGAACGCAGGGGAUCUUCGGACCUUGCGCGAUUGAAUGAGCCGAUGUCGGAUUAGCUAGUUGGCGGGGUAAAGGCCCACCAAGGCGACGAUCCGUAGCUGGUCUGAGAGGAUGAUCAGCCACACUGGAACUGAGACACGGUCCAGACUCCUACGGGAGGCAGCAGUGGGGAAUAUUGGACAAUGGGCGCAAGCCUGAUCCAGCCAUACCGCGUGGGUGAAGAAGGCCUUCGGGUUGUAAAGCCCUUUUGUUGGGAAAGAAAAGCAGCAGGUUAAUACCCCGCUGUUCUGACGGUACCCAAAGAAUAAGCACCGGCUAACUUCGUG